Molecule: unclassified non-coding RNA, 281 nt
Filed under: uncultured fungus
Lineage: Eukaryota; Fungi
Description: partial contains small subunit ribosomal RNA, internal transcribed spacer 1, and 5.8S ribosomal RNA
Rfam family: Eukaryotic small subunit ribosomal RNA (bases 1-73)
Source: RNAcentral
UCAAACUUGGUCAUUUAGAGGAAGUAAAAGUCGUAACAAGGUUUCCGUAGGUGAACCUGCGGAAGGAUCAUUACCGAGUUCAUGCCCUCACGGGUAGACCUCCCACCCUUGAGUACCUUACCUUUGUUGCUUUGGCGGGCCGCCCUCGGCCACCGGCUCCGGCUGGUGAGCGCCCGCCAGAGGACCCUAAACUCUGAAUUAUCGUGUCGUCUGAGAACUAUACAAUAGUUAAAACUUUCAACAACGGAUCUCUUGGUUCUGGCAUCGAUGAAGAACGCAGC